ACAAGCAGCGGAGCGUGUGGUUUAAUUCGAUGCAACGCGAAGAACCUUACCAAGGCUUGACAUGCCAGAAGUAGGAACUCGAAAGAGAGACCACCUGUAUCCAGUCAGGAACUGGCACAGGUGCUGCAUGGCUGUCGUCAGCUCGUGCCGUGAGGUGUUAGGUUAAGUCCUGCAACGAGCGCAACCCUCGUCGCUAGUUAAAUUUUUCUAGCGAUACUGCCCGUAAAACGAGGAGGAAGGUGGGGAUGACGUCAAGUCAGCAUGGCCCUUACGCCUUGGGCUACACACACGCUACAAUGGGUGAUACAACGGGUUGCGAGAGAGCGAUCUGGAGCUAAUCCCUAAAAUCAUCCUCAGUUCGGAUUGCAGGCUGAAACUGCCUGCAUGAAGUUGGAGUUGCUAGUAACCGCAGGUCAGCACACUGCGGUGAAUACGUUCUCGGGCCUU
RNAcentral lists this ribosomal RNA (447 nucleotides) under uncultured Chloroflexota bacterium. RNAcentral describes it as "bacterial SSU rRNA". It matches the Rfam family "Bacterial small subunit ribosomal RNA", at positions 925 to 1382 of the family's 1533-position model. The record is from RNAcentral. Lineage: Bacteria; Bacillati; Chloroflexota.